This 227-nucleotide unclassified non-coding RNA is filed under the name Hevea brasiliensis (rubber tree). The record is from RNAcentral. Lineage: Eukaryota; Viridiplantae; Streptophyta; Magnoliopsida; Malpighiales; Euphorbiaceae.
UGGGAUUCAAGAGGGGAAGGAUGCGAUUGUGGAAGAGGGUGGAAUUGCUGCACUCGUGGAAGCAAUUGAAGAUGGGUCGGUGAAAGGGAAAGAGUUUGCAGUAUUGACACUCUUGCAAUUGUGUGUUGAGAGUGUGAGAAAUAGAGGGUUGCUCGUAAGGGAAGGUGGAAUUCCACCUCUGGUUGCACUUUCUCAGACUGGAAGCGUUCGAGCAAAGCAUAAGGCAG